UGCCAGCAGCCGCGGUAAUACGGAGGGUGCAAGCGUUGUUCGGAAUUAUUGGGCGUAAAGCGUACGUAGGCGGCUUGACAAGUCAGAAGUGAAAGCCCAGGGCUCAACCCUGGAAUUGCUUUUGAAACUGUCUCGCUAGAAUCCGAGAGAGGCCAGCGGAAUUUCCAGUGUAGAGGUGGAAUUCGUAGAUAUUGGAAGGAACACCAGUGGCGUAGGCGGCUGGCUGGAUCGGUAUUGACGCUCAGGUACGAAGGCGUAGGUAGCGAACAGGAUUAGAUA
This 279-nucleotide ribosomal RNA is filed under the name uncultured bacterium. Its description in RNAcentral is "partial 16S ribosomal RNA". It matches the Rfam family "Bacterial small subunit ribosomal RNA", at positions 506 to 784 of the family's 1533-position model. The record is from RNAcentral.